UGGGCUAUCGCCAAGGGGUAAGGCACAGCACUUUGACUGCUGCAUUCGCCAGUUCGAAUCUGGCUAGCCCAG
Molecule: transfer RNA, 72 nt
Filed under: Lachnospiraceae bacterium NK3A20
Lineage: Bacteria; Bacillati; Bacillota; Clostridia; Lachnospirales; Lachnospiraceae
Also listed under: 14 other names
Description: rumen bacterium NK3A20 tRNA
Rfam family: tRNA
About the family: Transfer RNA (tRNA) molecules are approximately 80 nucleotides in length.
Source: Rfam by way of RNAcentral